GUGCUCACUUUGGCAGCACAUAAACUAAAAUUGGAAUGAUACAGAAAAGAUUAUCAUUACCCCUGCACAAGGAUGACAUGAAAAUUUGUGAGGUAUUCCAUAUUUUU
Molecule: small nuclear RNA, 107 nt
Organism: Monodelphis domestica (gray short-tailed opossum)
Lineage: Eukaryota; Metazoa; Chordata; Mammalia; Didelphimorphia; Didelphidae
Source: Ensembl